RNAcentral lists this long non-coding RNA (681 nucleotides) under Homo sapiens (human). Its description in RNAcentral is "novel transcript". The record is from RNAcentral. Lineage: Eukaryota; Metazoa; Chordata; Mammalia; Primates; Hominidae.
AUACAGCAAUAGAAAACCAAUACAGCCAGAAUGGUGCCAAUGGAGAUUAUAAAGAAGAGGAUAGAUGGAUUUUGGCAAUAAUUUAUGACUGUGAUCCAUCUGAGAAGAGCUGUCAGCUGUCAGCCAAGCGGUUAUAUUUAUAGACCUAGAACUCAACAAGAGCUUCUACAGGCUACUGGCAUUCUUGGCUCAAGGCCUCUUCCUCCAUCUUCAAAGCCAGCAACAUCAGGUCAAGUUCUUUUCAUCCUUCCAUCUCUCUGCUUCUUUCUCCUGCACCUCCUUCUUCCACUUUUGAGGCCCUUUGUCAUUACAUUGGGCCCUCCUGGAUAAUACAAGAUUUUAAGAUCAUCUGAUUAGCAAACUUAAUUUUAUGUUAUCUUAACUCCCCUUUUCCAUAUAACAUAACAUAGUCACAGGUCCUAGGGACUAGGACGUGGACAUCUUUUGUCGUCAUAACUCUGCUUACUACAGAGGCUAAGGAUUUAUCUACACAAUGUGUAAUAUAAUAAUCUUGAAGAGAGCUGGUUGUAUGAAUGGUAAAGGCAGAAGUAAUAAAUAGUUCAGCAGGUAUAGAGUGCAGUGGGAGUGAAGUCAGAAUGGAGUGACUAUGAAAAACCUUGACAAGUUCAGCUAUGAAUGAAUAAAAGAAAGUAGAGUAAAGAAAAGGAAUAAAAGGAAGUA